Long non-coding RNA from Notolabrus celidotus (New Zealand spotty), 1928 nucleotides. RefSeq lists it as uncharacterized. The record is from RefSeq and is a predicted model, not a curated record. The transcript has 3 exons. NCBI's taxonomy places the organism in Eukaryota, Metazoa, Chordata, Actinopteri, Labriformes, Labridae.
UGUAGAAGAGUGUAGGUUCUUGUUCAGGGUUCGAAGAAAGAGUGACAGAAGUGAUCAUCAGUUUGCCUCAGUCUGAAGCAUAAACGGAUCAAAGAUGACAAACAGAGCCUGGUUGACUGCAGUGAUGAAUGAAAUCAAAAGAAGCUCUAUUGUGUUAAAUGGGGUUUUCAGCUUCAUCCUUGUUUGCUUGGAGAAGUUAACAGAACUGGAGUUUUCGUGUCCCUGUGACCCAAAUUGGAAUGCUGUGUUCGCUUCAGCAUUUUUUAUUCUACCUGCAGUUAUGGUUUUCGUGCUGCUGUUAAGCAUUCGAGGAUGCAAGAAGUGUUCGGCAGAGUUGAGGAGAGAUAUAUUCAUCAGCCUUGUUUCCCCUGUUGUAUGGCUCAUCCUGCUGUUCUUUGAUGGACAAUACUUUGCCUGUGCUAGCACAUGGUGGUCAGGAAGGUUUGUCAUAAUUGACAAAGCUGGUCCUCGGAAAUGGUGUAUGCCAUACAAUCACAGCUUAUCUCAGGAUGAUCUCGUGAGAAAGACUCAAGGAUGGUUUUCUUUGUCUCAGGCCAUUGGACUGGGGCUUGCUUUUGUGCUGGCCCUUGUUGUAGGAAUCUACCGCUGUUGCUGCAAAGAGACAGCGCAAGUUGAAGAAAGUAAUAUAACUGGUCAAUUCAGGGACAAUCAGGAUCAAGAUAACAUUGCACUUUCCAAUAGAUUUGGCUAUUCUUCGUUUUGAAAUGAGAAUAGAUGAGCCCAUUAAGUAGAUGAGGAAGGUAGCUUUGGAAUGAUCUUGGGAAUUUCAUCAUGUCAUCUCUUGUAGAUUUGGGAGAAAUCUAUUAUUGAUAAUGUAUAUCAUGGAGAGCUGCAGCUCUAUCACUUAAGGGGUAUGAUUUUGCUUUCAAUCAUCCUGCAUAUUUGUUUGACCAAGCAAUGCUUUUCUGCACUGUUCUGAUUUUUCUGUAUAAAUUCACUGAAACAGUGUAAAGGCUGAUAGACUGCUGUUUUAAUGUUUCCUCAUUUUGUAAAGGCAUAGUUUGAGGUAUGAAUGCUCUUCACCUAAAACUUUUUCAACUCAAAAAAAAAUCGAAGAAGCCAAAGGGGUCCAUUUAAUUGUAUUUACUCAAGCCUUACUCAUGUCCACAGACAAUCACAUUAACACAUUUUAUGAGCCAUACAGUGAUUUUUUGUUGUGUCAAUUCUGAUAUUGUCACUCAUAAAUUUUUUUGUCUCCUUUAUUUCACUUGGGUGUUUUUCACAUCAUUUUUAUUUUUUACUUUUUUCCCAACUGUUAAAUCUCCACUUUUUAGGGGUUGGGAAAUUGUAUCGUCUCAUUCUUACUGGUGGCGCUCAUGGUUUACAUGGCAUGCACAAGAAACAGCAGGCAAAAUGAAAAGUGUGAAGAGCCCGGUCAAACUGAAGAGGAGGUAUGUGGUGUUGAAUCUGUUCCCCUUCAAUGUCCCCCAGAAAAUCCAUAGGAAACACAAACAACAAGAUGUUUGUUUUUCACAUGUAAAUAUUGUGUAUAAAAUGAUAUGUGCUGGCAGGUCCGGUAGUGAAAUUGAUAGCUGUGCUUUUUACGCUACACGCUGUUUGUUCGGUAGCAAAUGCUAAGACCUGAAUAAUCUGGUUUAGGACAUAUUUUGGUAAAACUGACAAACCUCAAAACCAAAGUCUUGUUCAUUUUAGCUUCCUGUACGAGAGAUGCACAUGCUCUAACCGCUAGCUAAACUGUUGCCAUAAAGCUGAUGUCUGGUGGGAAUGUUGGGCAGGGGUUGGUAGAUUGUGUCUCUCCUGUUUCUUAAAAAUGUAAGAUAGAUUUUACUCUUUGAAAACCUGCUUCUCUAACUGUGAAAAUGUUUCAUGAUCAAGAAAGAUGUAACUUUGGAAGUGAAUUCUGUCUUAAAAUGUGAACAAAUUUUUUUUGUUUUGUACUUAGUUUU